GGGGACGUACAGGUUUCGACAGGAAUGCGGAAACAAAAUAAGCGAGCCGCAGUUUGCUCGGUCUGCGUAAAAAAGGGCACGUUAAAAAUAAACGCUAAAAAUAAUAACAACAAUUUCGCAUACGCUGCCUAGUAUCGCAGCACGCGCGUCGGCCCACAUUCACCUGCAGGUAUGGGACCCGGCGUCGAUCAUGCAGGAAAACCUUAUGUGAAAUCCCGGCAGCAUAAGGGAAUAACGGGAUAGCCGAAACCGCAACUUGCCUUUGAGGAGUGGAAGAAGCGAAAAAAUUCAACAAAGGAUGCGCUCGGAGAAAAUUUUGCGGAAGUGUUUUUGGACACGAGUUCAAUUCUCGUCGUCUCCACCA
Molecule: transfer-messenger RNA, 364 nt
Filed under: Anaerovoracaceae
Lineage: Bacteria; Bacillati; Bacillota; Clostridia; Peptostreptococcales
Also listed under: 1 other name
Description: UBA1422 sp012515135 Standard tmRNA
Rfam family: transfer-messenger RNA
About the family: Bacterial tmRNA, also known as 10Sa RNA or SsrA, is named for its dual tRNA and mRNA-like properties. Its role is to liberate the mRNA from a stalled ribosome.
Source: RNAcentral